RNAcentral lists this small RNA (127 nucleotides) under Marmota monax (woodchuck). The record is from RNAcentral. Lineage: Eukaryota; Metazoa; Chordata; Mammalia; Rodentia; Sciuridae.
GCCAGGUGUGGUGGCGCACACCUGUAAUCCCAGCAGUUUGAGAGGCUAAGGCAGGAGAAUCAUGAGUUCAAAGCCAGUCUCAGUAAUUUAGUGAAGCAUUAAGCAACUCAGUGAGAUCCUGUCUCUA